Molecule: ribosomal RNA, 444 nt
Filed under: uncultured bacterium
Lineage: Bacteria
Description: bacterial SSU rRNA
Rfam family: Bacterial small subunit ribosomal RNA
Source: RNAcentral
CCUACGGGAGGCAGCAGUCGAGAAUCUUCCGCAAUGGACGAAAGUCUGACGGAGCGACGCCGCGUGGUGGAUGAAGCGUUUCGGCGCGUAAACACCUUUUAUGAGGGAGGAAGUAUAUUGACGUUACCUCAUGAAUAAGGGGCUCCCAACUCUGUGCCAGCAGGAGCGGUAAUACAGAGGCCCCAAGCAUUAUCCGGAUUCACUGGGCGUAAAGGGUGCGUAGGCGGUUAUAUUAGUCGGAUGUUAAAUCUUUGGGCUCAACCCAAAAAUCGCAUUCGAAACGGUAUAACUAGAGGAAGUCAGAGGUAAGCAGAACUCUCGGUGUAGGGGUGAAAUCCGUUGAUAUCGAGGGGAAUACCAAAUGCGAAGGCAGCUUACUGGGACUUUCCUGACGCUGAGGCACGAAAGCAUGGGUAGCGAACGGGAUUAGAUACCCUUGUAGUC